This 20-nucleotide non-coding RNA is filed under the name Mus musculus (house mouse). The record is from RNAcentral. Lineage: Eukaryota; Metazoa; Chordata; Mammalia; Rodentia; Muridae.
UGGUUUCAUAGGUUACUGUA